Molecule: transfer RNA, 71 nt
Filed under: Loxodonta africana (African savanna elephant)
Lineage: Eukaryota; Metazoa; Chordata; Mammalia; Proboscidea; Elephantidae
Rfam family: tRNA
About the family: Transfer RNA (tRNA) molecules are approximately 80 nucleotides in length. Their secondary structure includes four short double-helical elements and three loops (D, anti-codon, and T loops).
Source: Rfam by way of RNAcentral
GCAGUUGUGGUUUUGUGGUAGAAUUCUUACCCUCCACACAGGAGACCUGGGUUCGAAUCCCAGCUAAUGCG